UUUUUGGUGGUAAAAUACAUACAACAUAAAAACACUCUUCUGUUUUCUGUCUCUAUGGAGGUGACUAUUCUAGGAACAUCAUAUAAGAGGAAUCACACAUAAAAUAGAUAACCAACAAGGACGUAAUAUAUAGCACAGGGGACGAUACUUAUUUUGCAAUAACCUACAGGGGGACAGAGUCUAAAAAAUAUAUAAUUAACUGAAUUGCUGUGCUGUAGCCUGAAACUAACAUGAUACUGUAAAUCAACUAUACUUCAAUUUUUAAAUUUUUCAUUUAAAAAAGGAAUCACACAAUAUUUGCCCUUUUGCACCUAGAUGACUUCAUGUAGCAUAAUGACUUUAAGGUUCAUCCAUGUUAUGGUAGGUGUCUGAAUUCCCUUCACUUUUAAGGCCAAAUAAUAUUCCAUCACAUGUAUACACAAAUUUGCUCACCCAUUCACCUUUAAAUAAACAUUUGGGGAGUUCCUGUCGUGGUUCAACAGAAACAGAUCCGACUAGCAUCCACGAGGACCCAGGUUCGAUCCCUGGCCUCGCUUAGCGGGUUAAGGAUAUGGCAUUGCUGUGAGCUGUGGUGUAGGUUGCAGACACGGCUCAGAUCCCAUGUUGCCAUGGCUGCAGUGUAGGCCGGGAUCGAACCCACAACCUCAUGGUUCCUAGUCGGAUUCGUUUCCGCUGCGCCACGACGGGAACUCCUGCUUUCAUUUUUAAAUGGAAGCUUUACAAUCAUAAUUCAUACACUAAGGCUGGACACUGCCUUCUCCAGAUCUUUUUUUAAUAUAAAUAUUCGGCGAGUGGCAUGACAUGAAGACGAACGCUUUGGCGUGAAUGCCUUCAAGUAGGAAAUAUCAGAGGGGUGGUGUGUAGAGAAAGAGAAUGUGGGAAAGGCGACGCUAACAGGUAUGAAAAAUGAACUUGGCACAUGGCUCCUCUAACUCAAAACCUCAAGUUCCAAAGAUUUAUGGACUAAAACUUCAGAACUAUAAAAUACAAUUCUCAGGAAACAUAGUUGCAACAGGCGAUGGAUCAUUACGACAGCCGCUUAUGCAAGCCGUAAACUCCCAGGGCCAACGAACUGGGUCAGAUAUUAAUUUCCACGAUGGGCAGGGUAACUAGAGACACGUAAUGUCACCGUUUCUCUUUUCAGAUCACACAGGGAGCUUUCAUUUCAAAAAAAAGCCAUAAGGUCCCCAGUUUAGGGACUAGUACCUGCGCCCUACCCCUCGCCCCCGCCCAAUACAGGGCAAAUAAAGACUUCCCAUUAUAAUGCCCUGCAACACUAUUAUUUUUUUUUAACUCUUUUUUUUUUUUUUGUUCUUCAUUGAGGCCCUAAAAAGCAAAAAAAAAAAAAAAAAACCCAAAAACCUCUGCAUAUGCACAUAACUCUACAGUUGGCCCUCCAUCUUUAGUUCCUCCAUAUCUGAGGUCCUGCAUCGUCAGAUGCAACCAACCUCAGAUGGUGCAGUAGCUACUUAGUGAAAAAAAUCCUCAUGUAAUUGGAUCCGAGCAAUUCAAACUCAUGUUGUUCAAGAGCUGUGCAAAGUCAGGCCUCGGUAUCCGCAGCUUCAACCAACGUGGUUAUGGACUGUAUUUACCACCAGCAGGAGGCUGAACCCCUGGAGGCCAAACCGAGGACACUGGGGCUGACCCCGGGAGUUGAGCACCCGUGGAUUUGGGUAUCCAAGGCUGAUCCCGCAACCAGUCCCCUGAGGAUACGGAUGGAGGGCUAACUAGACUGAUAGACGGGGAGGAAUCUAAUGUCAGGCCCUGCGUUCUAACUAGGGGUUCGGAAAGUUUCUUAACGGUGCACAACAGACACCCCAUUCAUCCCCUUCGACGGCGCUCCCUUCGGAAGGGCAGCAAUAGGAGACAUCCUCCGGACCCCCCAUCCCCACCCCAGAGUUAAUAUUCCCCUUGUUAGAAUCCAUAGCAAAUUUUAUGGACAAGUCAUAAACCAUCCGAAUUAAGCAGUUCACACAGAAACCCGCAUCUUCGUCUCAGCCGAGCGGCACCUUCGCACCCUGUAAUUAGCCUCUGCCGAAUGAAUAUUAAGUCCCGUGGAGGUAAGAAGGGUCAAUUAUAUCAUCGAAUGAAGAAAAGGAAGACACUUGUCUUGGCCUCUGGUUCGGUCUUAAAUUAACUUUUCAUCUGGAACAAAAUGUUAGAUUCGCUCUUCCUACAUUCUAAAAAUUUUCUUCCGCGGAAACGGUAAGACGUAUUAAAAAUGUAAGAGACCUGAGAAAUCAGAGGAGAAUCGCUCCAUGGGCAUAAAGCUUAGUUCUAAUAUUUCCUCUUUGCGAGCUGGCAUGAAAGUCCAGGGACAGCGCGGACUUAAGUGCCGCCAGAUUAAAUGAGUGGGGACCUGGUGGCCCUCACGGGCUAGGGGAGUUUUGGGGCCACAGGGCAAGUGGGGCUCACAAGUGGGACCCAAGGGCCCCUGGACAGGUUUCCUCUCACUGAUCCCCAAGCCACCUGAGCUCGGCUCCUGUUAUCCUCAAGGAAGUCAAACCCAACAGGGAGAGACCCUAAACUUAUCUCUGAGUGGCCCUCCCAAAGAUGAGAGGCUCAGAGAAGGUGGGGGAAAGCAAAGCUAUAAAAGGGGGAAAGGUUCAGUGGUUGCACUCUGGGCCUCCCAUCGCUUGGGAAGUCAGCCAGGGGACAAAUCCCAGCGAUAUACAAAUGAAAUAGGUAAGCCCCAGCCCAUGGUACCAGCCCAAGCUCCUUCCUGUGGCACUUGGUCUAUGGAAGAAGACCCCAGGCUGGCUCCGCAGGGCUGCAGGCGUCUGGCUUCAGAAACCCCAUCCUAACAAGACCUCCAGUGCCGCCUCACUUGUGCCAAGCAUCCGCUUCUUCAGGGCGCAUGAGGGCAAAGAACUUUCUGGAAAACUGUGUCUGUGGUUCUUCUCUGGUACUGAAUCCUGAGAUACCCCAGGGAGACUUCCUAAGCAAUCUGACAGAGGGCCAGGCCCCCUGAGGUGCCCGUGAGGUGCUUCCCAAAAUAUCCUAAGACACAAAUAAAAGUGCUGAGUGACGUCACAUGGGGUAGGGAGCUUGAGAGCGGAGUGACUGGCAAGCUAGGGGGUGGCCGGGGAACAAUAAUAAGGGAACUGAAAACGAUAUUCACUGCAAAAGAGAGCAGAGCAAGUCAAUUACAGAAGAAACGGUACCUGGGUCCCCAGGGUCCCCAGCACAGCUUUAGCACAACCUCAACAGCAAGAAUUUCCCGGGGUGGGGCCCUAGAGCCAUGUGUUACCACAGCCAGGGGGGCACAUGCAAUUCCCCCACCCACCCUGCCACUGCUGACUUCUCGUGAGGGCUGACUCACAUGGUCCUGGGGGAGAGGCACUGGGAUGCCCCACUUAACAGAUGAAGAAACUGAGGUUCAGGCAGAUCAGUCCCUGUCCAGAACCACCCAAGCUGCUAACUGGAUUGGGAGCCCUUGUCUUUGUGACUUCAAGGCCCCCACUCUAUCUCCCUUGCAGGGGAACUCGUAAUAAUAUUAAAAUACCCCCAGUGAGUCAGAAAAAAGAUCUGUCCCAGUGGAGACCUGACAUGCUCUUGACUGGAGCUGCUCCACAGAGAUUUUUCCCCUCCUCCACUGUAAGCAGUGGAAUUUGGGGGUUCUGGGAAAUGCAGAGGGUGGAUAAGAGGCAAAACCUUAUCUCCUAAAGGGAACCCUCCUACACUGUUGGUAGGAAGGUAAAUUAGUACAACCACUGUGGAAGAGAGAGCAUGGAGGGCCCUCAGAAAACUAAAUAUAGAACCACCAGAUGAUCCAGCCAUCCCAGCCCUGGGCAUCUAUCUCAACAAAACUGUAAUUCAACAAGAUACAUGUACCCAUUAGGUUCCAAGCAGCACUAUACACGAUAGCUAAGACAUGGAAACAACCUAAAUGCCCAUCGAUAAAUGAAUGGAUGAAGAAGUUAUGGUACAUAUAUACAAUGCAAGAUUUAUUCAGCCAUAAAAAAGAACAAAAUAUUGCCCUUUGCAGCAACAUGGAUGGACCUAGAGAUUCUCAUAGGAAGUGAAGUCAGAAAGAGAAAGACAAAAAAUACCAUAUGACAGCACUUACAUGUGGAAUCUAAACUGUGGCACAGGAGUUCCCGUCAUGGCGCAGUGGUUAACAAAUCCGAUUAGGAACCAUGAGGUUGCGGGUUCAGUCCCUGCCCUUGCUCAGUGGGUUAACGAUCCUGCGUUGCCGUGAGUGUGGUGUAGGUUGCAGACGCGGCUCGGAUCCUGCGUUGCUGUGGCUCUGGCGUGGGCCGGUGGCUACAGCUCCGAUUGGACCCCUAGCCUGGGAACCUCCAUAUGCCGCAGGAGUGGCCCAAGAAAUAGCAAAAAAAAGACAAAAAUUAAUAAAUAAAUAAACUGUGGCACAAAUAAACCUAUCUACGAAACAGAAACAACUCACAGACAUAGAGAACCUCUUGUGGUUGCCAAGAGGGACGGGGAGGGAGUGGGAGGGAGUAGGAGUUUGGGGUUAGUAGAUGCAAAUUAUUACAAUUAGAAUGGAUAAGCAAUGAGGUCCUGCUGGAUAGUACAGGGAACUAUAUCCAACCCCUUGGGGUAGAACACGAUGGAAGAUAAUAUGAGAAAAAAGAAUGUACAUGUGUGUGUGACUGGGUCACUUUGCCAUACAGCAGAAACUGACACAAUAUUGUCAAUCAACUACAAUAAAAAAUUUAAAAAACAAAACAAAAACAAACAGAAAAACCCCAUGU
RNAcentral lists this long non-coding RNA (4718 nucleotides) under Sus scrofa (pig). Its description in RNAcentral is "lncRNA (ENSSSCG00055016645.1)". Lineage: Eukaryota; Metazoa; Chordata; Mammalia; Artiodactyla; Suidae. The record is from RNAcentral.